UUUUCAAUAUACAGGCUUUAUUCUACUUGAAUAAGUUAAUUCCUAUGUUUCUGCCUCCCUCCACCCAUUAUUAUUCUUUAGCUUAGGCUGUCCUACUUACUGUAGUCCAGGAUGGCCUCUAAUCCAUGGAAAUCUUCCUGGCUCAGCCUCCUGAGUCCUGAGAGUGCUUCAGCUGGAGCCACUGGGGCCACUUGUGAGACGGCUCAUUCAUAUUGCUGGCAGGACAUACAAGGAACAGCCAACUGAGAACAGCUGGGAAAGGAGGAGCUAUCAGUGUGAGGAAACAGAGGACUGUUUCAGUCAUGUUAAAAGGAGCAGAAAAAGAAGCACAGAGAAGCUCAGUACUGAAGACCCUCUUAGGAUAAGGCAACUUGGCUUUAAUCGUUCAGAAACUGAACAAGCAGGUGGAGUUGCCACAGGAUUUUGCUUUAGAAAUGGGUUCCCUGUGAUGUGUAGAAUGGAC
RNAcentral lists this long non-coding RNA (463 nucleotides) under Cricetulus griseus (Chinese hamster). RNAcentral describes it as "lncRNA (ENSCGRG00015042582.1)". Lineage: Eukaryota; Metazoa; Chordata; Mammalia; Rodentia; Cricetidae. The record is from RNAcentral.